GACCGCAUAGCUCAGUUGGAAGAGCAUUGGGCUAGUAUUCCAAAGGUCGUAGGUUCGAAUCCCACCGUGGCUG
Molecule: non-coding RNA, 73 nt
Organism: Paramuricea clavata
Lineage: Eukaryota; Metazoa; Cnidaria; Anthozoa; Malacalcyonacea; Plexauridae
Source: the annotation of a GenBank genome assembly